CAGAGACUGCAAGCGUUAUUCGGAUUCACUGGGCGUAAAGGGUGCGCAGGCGGUUGGGUGUGUCAGAUGUGAAAUCCCGAGGCUUAACCUCGGAAUUGCGUCUGAAACUACUCGACUAGAGUACUGGAGAGGGUAACGGAAUUCACGGUGUAGCAGUGAAAUGCGUAGAUAUCGUGAGGAACACCAGAGGCGAAGGCGGUUACCUGGACAGUUACUGACGCUCAGGCACGAAAGCAUGGGGAGCAAAAGGGAUUAGAUACCCCUGUAGUCCAUGCCCUAAACGGUGCACACUAGGUCUUAGCGGAUUCGACCCCACUAGGGCCCAAGCUAACGCGUUAAGUGUGCCGCCUGAGGACUACGGUCGCAAGACUA
This 372-nucleotide ribosomal RNA is filed under the name uncultured organism. RNAcentral's name for it is "bacterial SSU rRNA". It matches the Rfam family "Bacterial small subunit ribosomal RNA", at positions 526 to 896 of the family's 1533-position model. The record is from RNAcentral.